Vespa crabro (European hornet) is the source of this 2264-nucleotide long non-coding RNA. RefSeq lists it as uncharacterized. The transcript is spliced from 3 exons. The record is from RefSeq and is a predicted model, not a curated record. NCBI's taxonomy places the organism in Eukaryota, Metazoa, Arthropoda, Insecta, Hymenoptera, Vespidae.
AGAGGAAAGGUACGAAAGAAAAGACGAGUUCCUAUACGUAAACGACGCCGCAGCUACCGUACGCGCUGCGUACUGCCGGCUGAUUACUAUGGAGGCGACGAUGGACGAAGGUAAAAGGACGAGAGACGUCGAAAGGCGAGUGUGUAUCUGUGUAUACUUUUACAUGUACAGUCGCAUACGGUAAGAGAGAGGGGAGAGAGAAAAAGGAGUGGGGGAGAGAGGGAAAGAAAGAAAGAGAGAGAGAGAGAGAAAGAAGGCAUAUACACGCACGCACGAAAAAAUCAGCAGCGCACUCUCGAUCGAGAAUGUCCAGUCGAUAGGUAUAAAGUGAUAAGUUCUCUUUCCUUUACGACAAAUUUCGAGUUCACACGAUAACUACACGUUCGACCAACCGAAAAACGCGCCGGCUUAAAAUCGUGACGAUUUUCUUUUGUACGCACGCACUCGGUGCGCGAAAGACCAGUGACGUCGCUUUACUCGUUGCAGAUUCUCUUUCUCUUUUUCUCUCUCUCCCUCUCUCUCUUUUUCUCUUUUCUUCUAGCAUCACCCCUUUAGCGCUCUCUCGUUUCUCCCACUACUUCACUUGCUUCCUAUCUUUUUAACAGCUUCGGCUAUUAUCGGUGAGCUACGAUAUGUUUAUUAGGCGCGUCACUGACCAACUAGUCACAUGACUCGCGCAGAAAUCAUUUUUCUCCAUUUCUUUUUUCUAAGAUAUAUGUAUUUUUCCUAGAUUCUUGAUAUUACUCCCUUUAAGAUAUUUAACCUACGCAAUAUCUUCAUCGUCAUUCUUGUUGUCUUUCGAAUUUUCCAAACAUUAAUUCACGUUUAUUUAGUUAAAUUCGUAUAAUUUAAAAAAAAACAUUAUAUAAAUUCUAAUUAAAGAAUGACAUUGUUAAAAAUAAUAUUAUAUUAUAUUUUAGUUUUUAUCGAGCGAUAUAAAAUUGUUCGUGAGGUAUGUAUCUAUGUACAUAUCUAUGUAUACAUGUAUGUAUAUAUGUAUGUAUCAUUAUGACGUGAAGCAUGUCGCCAUUAUACCGGCGUGAAACGAUACCGAUUUGAUUCGAUAAGUCGAACAAUCGACGCUCACCACCACGUGACGCUCCAAUCGAUGUUCUCAAUCGAACGGGAUUGGUAAGAUUCGUCCGUGAAAGUUAUGCGUGCGCACUUUUCAUAUAACCGAAGUAUAUAUAUACGACGAGUGCAUCGUGCUUCGAUUACGCGAAAACGAACAACCUUUACGGCUCCGCGUACGCGACAUCGGCCUUGAAUGUUAUCGUUGAAUCGACCUGUAUCAGUCCUACCUUCUCAAUUCUCAACGAUACAUGACGAUAUGAGUCAACUUGUACGAAAAACUUCGAUUUUCGAAAUAUUCCCUAAUAUUUAUUAUCAACCGAGGAGAGUUAAAUAUGUUCGCUUGAGGAAGUACUAUUAUAUAUAUAUACACGAAUUUUUAUAUUAUUAUUUUAUAUACGCGAAUUUUUGAUUAGCAAUAAUGAAUUUCAGCUAAUGAUAAAAAUGUCUCGUGAAAUUGAUAUUAUUAUUAUCUUUUUUCGGAGGAUGCAUCAAAAAUAAUUGUCGAUAUCAAAAGAAAUCGAUUUUUCUUUUCGAACGAUUUUAUUCUCUAAUAAUUUUUUUUUUUAAUUCUUUAGAUUCAAUCUGCUAUGAAAUAUAUUUUUUUCUUUUUUUUUUUUAAAUGUUAAGAAAAAAAAUGUUUCAAUUAAUAUGCACGUGUGUGUAUGUGUGUGUGUAUUCAGAACGUUUAGGAAAAUCGAAAGUGUAGAGAGGCGUGCCACUUUAUAGUAAUCAUAGUGUAAACUUGUCUAUACGUGUCAAAACGGUGUAUGUAUGUAUCCCUAUAUGUUCAUUAAAUUACUUUUCGAAUUCGUGCUGUAUUGAUUGUAUAAUCAAGGAUUUGGAUUUUAUAUAGAAAAAGAAAUUAAAAGAAAAAAAGAAACAGUAAAAAAAUUUUAAACAAGGUAAUUAUUAACCGAGGUCACAAAAUAAAAGCGCAUUAAGCACAAGUUCGAAUUGGUUUUCUUGAGAGUACAGUGGGCGAACGGGCGGGGGAUAGGGGUGGGGAGGGAAGGAGGGAUUACGUUAGUCGUAGUUAUCGACCAGCCCAUAACGACCUUGAAACUGAACGACUUUUAUAUGCGCCAAUGCGAUUCUCACGAAAUGAAAGAAUUUGUCUAAAACAAGAAAUACCAUAUAUGGUACGUUUUGGAUCAUUGAGACUAGGCAAAUGAAAAUAAACUGUAUCUUCG